Molecule: long non-coding RNA, 825 nt
Filed under: Struthio camelus australis
Lineage: Eukaryota; Metazoa; Chordata; Aves; Struthioniformes; Struthionidae
Description: lncRNA (ENSSCUG00000014878.1)
Source: RNAcentral
AUUUUUUACCUCAGAGGUGAACUGAAAUGAUAAGAAACAUUAAAGCUGCUAAUGUGCUUAGCUAUUUUCUUGCUGAACACCAUCAGGAAACGAAUAGUAAUAAAAUAAAACUAAAAAACCAUUCACACUGCCGGAAGUCCCUCACCUACUUUGUUCCGGAAAAUACAAAAUGAUACUGUGCAACGCUUUCCAUUCUGCUUUAUGUCUGUGUUGACAAGCCGUUCACCCAGCCCAGUGUGCUGCUCCAGCAGUGGUCAUAAGCAGCCACCUCGAGAGAAAAGCACGUCCCAGGUACGUACCCUGUUGCCGCAAGAGCCCAUGGAGAUUUGUCUCCGUAAUAUCCCUUGUUUUGGACUCGGCUCCCACCAGUUCUUUGCAAUGGCUCCUCGUUCUUGCUUGGGAAGAGAGAAGGUACAGCCCACCUCAAGUCACCUUCUCCUUGCCACACGUGAUUUCGUGGACCUCUGCCUUUUUCUCCUCCAACCUUUGGUUUUCCAGGCUGGAGACAUCAAGCCUACUCAGUUAUUCACAGUAUCACUUUGCAGUUUGCAUAAGUUACCCCACAAAAUGCACAGCAAUGCUGUAUGCAUACCUACUUUUUUUUGAAGUGGGAACAAUUAUACUUUCCUACCUUUUUUAAGCACUUUGAUUUGUAGGAAAGAAUACUGAUCUGCUCCAUUUUUACUUUCGAAUGCAAAAUUAUUAUUAUUAAUGCUAAAAUUAAAAUACUUGGGCUUCAUUUAUUUCUUUCGCUUUGACUCAUCUGAUUAGUAUACUAAUAAGAAAACGUUCAAUAGACAUUCUUAUAUUAGAUGUGAAAUAUUA